This 477-nucleotide unclassified non-coding RNA is filed under the name Hevea brasiliensis (rubber tree). The record is from RNAcentral. Lineage: Eukaryota; Viridiplantae; Streptophyta; Magnoliopsida; Malpighiales; Euphorbiaceae.
GUUUUUUCUGCUCCCUUUUACAAUUAAUAUCAUACAAAAACUGAAAAAUCAAUAAUAAAAAAAAAAGCACUACAAAACAAAACCUUUUAUUUUCUGUAAUAAAUUCAUAGUAUGUGUGGUGUUUCUACGUAAGUGAAGCACACAGGGACAAUGAAAAAGAGAGUUUUCCUUUUAAAAGCUUCAUUUUUUUUUGGGUAUUUGUUUUUCUUAAUUUUCUAGGUGGGCUAUGGACUUGCUGGUAGACCCAGCUUUAUUGACCUCUAAAACCUGAAUGAUUUGCUCCUGUUUUCUUAAUAUAAACACAUUCAUAGAACCAUUCUUUUUUAGCUGUUUCAAUGUCUCUCUUGUUUCUGUAAAAUCCAGUGUUAGAUAGGAUGCUACUAGUGCACAGAGAGUCAACCAAGAGAAGCUGAAGGCGUUCCUAAAUUUGGGUCUCCUGCAUUUCUUUUUCCUACUUUAGAGAGAGAGAGAGAGAGA